GCUCCUGUGGCGCAAUUGGUUAGCGCAUGAGUCUUAUAUUCUCAAGGUUGUCGGUUCGAGCCCGACCAGGAGCA
RNAcentral lists this transfer RNA (74 nucleotides) under Aspergillus ruber CBS 135680. RNAcentral's name for it is "tRNA-Ile (TAT) (tRNA-Ile-TAT-1-1)". It matches the Rfam family "tRNA". From Rfam's summary of the family: Transfer RNA (tRNA) molecules are approximately 80 nucleotides in length. Their secondary structure includes four short double-helical elements and three loops (D, anti-codon, and T loops). The record is from RNAcentral. Lineage: Eukaryota; Fungi; Ascomycota; Eurotiomycetes; Eurotiales; Aspergillaceae.